UCAUUAAAUAUAUUUUUUAUUAGUUUUGUAAUUAAAAACUAUAAUUCUUUAAAUAAGGAUAAAAUUGUAAUUUGAAACUAUUUACUCCCAAUCUAAGACAAAGUAAACACAUAAAUUGGAUUCUGAUCUCCAUUCUAUGCUUCCAUUCCAGUGUAAGUAAACAACAUACUCCCACUCCCACUCCACACUCCCAAUCCUAAGAUUUUCACUCCCCAGAAUUCUCAAUCCAAUCCAAAAAGUAAACUCUACCUUAGUUUUAUUACCAGUUAUAAACCUAAACGCUGCCCUUAUGUUUUAACCGGUCUUCUGCUGCUUCGCUUGGUUUUCUGGUUGCCACACUUUCAACUUGCUAUUUACCGAAUUGGCCAUUGGAUUUCAUUGUUUAUACUUUAUAAUCCAACACGCUGGGCCAACUAGGCGACAAAGUCAGGGGGAUGUAACCCCCGGGCAACUUAGUCGCAGCCCCUAUAUAAAAUAUGUGAAUAUGUUGCACAUACUGCAUUAACUGAUAUUGCUCACUGCUUCACAGAAGAAAUCUGACAAAUAGCAUAUAGACUUAACUUACGGCAUUAUUGAAGAAAGUAUUACAUAUGUGUAGGGUGGUUCCCUUCUCAUAACCAAAAUAUUCCCUUGCAUGAUAAAUGUCAGUCAGCUGAAUCCGUCCCAUUAGUUAAUCAUUUGAAAGACCCCUGAUUGAAAAUAUUUUAUGAGAUUUGUUCAAGCAAAUCCAACAAAGAAUUGGAUUCAAUACAAUCCAAGAAAAUUGUUAGAUGACCAAUUGUGUUUCUUGACUAAGAAAAAACACAAAAGACCAAGAAGCAAACAAGAAAAGAUGAUCAAACAGCAAAGGAAUGAAACCCAGAAAAUAAGGACAAUCAAACACAGUGCACAAAGCAGAAAAUUCGAUCUACCAGAACAGAGCUUCAAGCUCUUUAUUAUUAACAUAAUUGAAUGCAAGUAUACAGAGGGAAUUACAAGCUUCCAAUGACUCGCUUGCAUCUAAGCUCUUAAGGCUACAUUUGGGACGCAUGAUGAACUAUUAUUAAGACUAGAUUGACUUAGAUUAGAUUAGGUUGGAUUACAUAUAAGACUGUCUUUUAUUUGGUAUAAAGUUAGUCGGACUAGGUUAAAUUUAAUAAAGUUAUUAACUAUUUAAAUAGUAUAACU
This 1167-nucleotide long non-coding RNA is filed under the name Citrus x clementina. RNAcentral's name for it is "Citrus clementina (C. clementina) long non-coding RNA (CCLE_LNC003833)". The record is from RNAcentral. Lineage: Eukaryota; Viridiplantae; Streptophyta; Magnoliopsida; Sapindales; Rutaceae.